Molecule: ribosomal RNA, 459 nt
Filed under: uncultured bacterium
Lineage: Bacteria
Description: partial 16S ribosomal RNA
Rfam family: Bacterial small subunit ribosomal RNA
Source: RNAcentral
CCUACGGGAGGCAGCAGUGAGGAAUAUUGGUCAAUGGCCGGAAGGCUGAACCAGCCAUGCCGCGUGAAGGUCAGUGCCCUAUGGGCGUUAAACUUCUUUUGUGCGGGAGCAAUAAUGGUCACGUGUGGCCAGACGAGAGUACGGUACGAAUAAGCAUCGGCAAACUCCGUGCAAGCAGCCGCGGUAAUACGUAGGGGGCAAGCGUUAUCCGGAUUUACUGGGUGGAAAGGGAGCGUAGACGGCGUGGCAAGCCAGAUGUGAAAGGCUGGGGCUCAAACCCAGGACUGCAUUUGGAACUGUCAUGCUAGAGUGUCGGAGAGGCAGGCGGAAGUCCUAGGGUAGCGGUGAAAUGCGUAGAUAUUAGGAGGAACACCAGUGGCGAAGGCGGCCUGCUGGACGAUGACUGACGUUGAGGCUCGAAAGCGUGGGGAGCAAACAGGAUUAGAUACCCUUGUAGUC